AGGAAAGCUUGUCUCUGCAGUCAGGCAAAGAUCAUGGGAUUAAUAAGAUGCAUUGUCCCCAGGAAAAUGUGUGCACUCAUGGAGAACCUCACUGACAUAGCUGCAGAGAGCUAAGCCUAGCCCACAAGAAUUCCUGGCGUGGACUCCAUCAGGACCUAGGAAGGGUCACAGAGUGCUCUGAUGUAUGCUGCCUGCAGUAUGAGCCGAGGAGCUUUUUGAAAGUCUGGGAGAAUUUGACCAGAGACACCUUUAACAGUACCAUCUCCAAAACCUCUCAUGCACAAGUGCAGCGAGACUUCCAGCAAAUCAGCUGAGGAUUUACAAGGAGAAUUAGGCUAACAGAAAAAGAAGAAACAUCUCAUAUUGGAGUUAACAGGCAAGUAGUGUG
Molecule: long non-coding RNA, 388 nt
Filed under: Dromaius novaehollandiae (emu)
Lineage: Eukaryota; Metazoa; Chordata; Aves; Casuariiformes; Dromaiidae
Description: lncRNA (ENSDNVG00000018440.1)
Source: RNAcentral